GCGCCAGUGGUUUAGUGGUAAAAUCCAUCGUUGCCAUCACUAUCCGAGUCUCCAUGACUCGGCUACUGUCUCGAUGGGCCCCGCGUUCGAUUCGCGGCUGGCGCA
This 105-nucleotide transfer RNA is filed under the name Coniochaeta sp. 2T2.1. RNAcentral describes it as "tRNA-Gly". Lineage: Eukaryota; Fungi; Ascomycota; Sordariomycetes; Coniochaetales; Coniochaetaceae. The record is from RNAcentral.